This 440-nucleotide ribosomal RNA is filed under the name uncultured bacterium. Its description in RNAcentral is "partial 16S ribosomal RNA". It matches the Rfam family "Bacterial small subunit ribosomal RNA", at positions 338 to 795 of the family's 1533-position model. The record is from RNAcentral.
CCUACGGGUGGCAGCAGUGGGGGAUAUUGCACAAUGGGGGAAACCCUGAUGCAGCGACGCCGCGUGAGUGAUGAAGUAUUUCGGUAUGUAAAGCUCUAUCAGCAGGGAAGAAAAUGACAGUACCUGACCCAGGAGCCCCGGCUACCUACGUGCCAGCAGCCGCGGUAAUACGUAGGGGGCAAGCGUUAUCCGGAUUUACUGGGGUGAAAGGGAGCGUAGACGGGUAUGUAAGUCUGGAGUGAAAGCCGGGGGCCCAACCCCGGUACUGCUUUGGAAACUGUGUAACUGGAGUACAGGAGGGGCAGGCGGAAUUCCUGGUGUAGCGGUGAAAUGCGUAGAUAUCAGGCGGAACACCGGCGGCGAAGGCGGCCUGCUGGACUGAAACUGACGUUGAGGCUCGAAAGCGUGGGGAGCAAACAGGAUUAGAUACCCGGGUAGUC